Long non-coding RNA from Mauremys mutica (yellowpond turtle), 1874 nucleotides. RefSeq lists it as uncharacterized. Lineage: Eukaryota; Metazoa; Chordata; Testudines; Geoemydidae. The record is from RefSeq and is a predicted model, not a curated record. The transcript is spliced from 5 exons.
UCUUUGCUGCUAUUUUAGUUAGGAACAUUGCAUGAGGGUGAAGGUAAACUUUGUCUCCAUAGAAGAUUGUAUAGGGUGGUUCUGGUACCAGAGCUCACAGUUCCCCUACUCUCCCAGCAGAGGUAACAGCAAUUGAAAAGGCCACUUGCAUUGAAAGGUGUAGCAGCAAACAGGUGACCAGCAGCUCAAAAGGGGGACUUAUCAGCUUUCCCAGUACUAGGUUCAAGUUCCUGGGGGAAUAGGGUCUUUUACUAGUGGAUCCAGGAGAGCGCAAAGCCGAGACAGCUGCUAGGUGGAUGUUGAUGGAAUUAACACUAACCCUUGUUGUUUCAAGAAGUGGAGAUAGUCCAAUACAUGAUGGAUGGAUGGCCAGGUAAGUACUCCUAGUCAAAGGCUCUCUACUAUUUAAAAACACUUCCUGUACCUCCUUAGAACAUCUCCCUUCCAUGAAGCAACCAGGCCAUCAGGUGGAGGACCUGCAGGAGGAGGCACCUGUGGUCCUGGGAGAUCACAUCUGAAUCCAGUGGGAGUGACAGUGGAGGUCCACCCAGUAGGGCUAGUAAAGCCAAGAACCAGUAUUGUCAGGGCAACACUGGGGCUCUAAGUAUGAGGUGAGAAUGCUCUUCUUUGAUUUUGGACAAGACUCUGGGCAAGAGCGGAACUGGAGGGAAGGCAUACAGCAGGCUGUUUAUCCAGGGUAGCAGGAAGGCAUCUGGCAAAGAAACUGGGCUGUGACCUGCUCAAGAACAAAAUUGAUGGCAUUUUCUGUUGGUCCUGGUUGCACACAGGUCCACUUAGGAGUCUCCCACAACUAGAAAAUGGAUCUGGCCAGAUUUGGAUGAAAGGACCACCCUGAGGGUAAGCAGCUGUCAGGUGGAUGGAGCUGGUGAUACAGAAAUUCCAAAGCCGUAUUGCCUCUUGGCACAAUCUCAUUGACCAGGCUUUUCCUUGUCUAUUCACACAGAACAUAGCCACUCUGUUGUCCACUAGCACCAGAAAACUCUUCCUCUCAAUAUAUGGAAGGAAGGCCAAGCAAGAUAACCAAAUAGCUCGCAAUUCUCUGACAUUUAUGUGUAUUUUCAGAUCUUGCAUAGACCAAAGACUUUGUGUCUGCUGAAACCCCAGGUGUCAGGACCGAUUUCUCCAUGUUGAUUAAUUGCCCUAGCACAUUGAAAGUGGACUGGAUAAGGUGUUGGACAGCACCUGAGAUCUGGACCGGCAUCUCACCAACUAGUCAGCUAGCUGGGUAGGAAUAUGAAUCCUGCAUCAAUGAGUCAGCAAAAUCCAAGUAGCACUUCAGCAGCAUCAGCCUCUGACAACAAGGCUCAUUGCACACUGAGGGAAUGAAGUCUCCUCUCUUCUUCAGAGAUAGAAGAGUAAAUGAAGAUGAAGCUCUGGACACUGGAGGCUCCAACAAAGGCCAUGCAGUGGUGAAAAGGAACUGGAAAGGCAAUUGGUCUGCUCCACCCUUUAUCUCCUUGGUUGGAUGCAUAAUUGGAUGCACGAGAAGAGCAAUGGUGCUUGCAUGGACCAAUGGACAUUGCUUUCAAGAAUUCUCUGACUCCGGAAAUAUGAAGCACAGUGAAAGACACACAGGGAGUAGCGCUUGAAGGCAAACCUAUAAUUUCACAUCUUCCUACAGAUUUUAUAGCAUAUGCCCUCCUGCUGAAACUGCUCUAAAUUGUAUUCUGUAAUUAGUGCAAAGCAGCCUUCUAUUCUGACCCUGUUUUUCCUUUCCUUGCAAUACCUUUGAGAUUUUAUAAUAAAUAUUGUGUGCUCAUGAAAAACAUUCACAUGCAUAUUUUGUUUAUGGAGAUAUGUUUAUUGUUGCCUUCAAUGUUUGUUGGAAAUAUGGAUAUUACUACAAAAAGUGU